RNAcentral lists this long non-coding RNA (335 nucleotides) under Homo sapiens (human). Its description in RNAcentral is "HSALNT0238912". The record is from RNAcentral. Lineage: Eukaryota; Metazoa; Chordata; Mammalia; Primates; Hominidae.
AUCCGAUCCGGGGAGGCAAGCCUGGGAGACGAGCUGAAUGAACUGGGAUUUCUUGGAGAAGUGGUAGAGCCAAGCUCUGGAACCGGAAAUACGCAAGGUGUGACUGAGUUGGAAAUCUUGGCUUCACUCCACCAAUGACCUGAGUCAUUCUUAGAAAGUCUGAAGAAGGAGCAUGCAGCUCUGAGGGUGGCAGCAGGUCCAGGAAUUGGAAUGUGACCACAGGGGAAUUCUUCAUAAAGGGCUGAACUUUACUGGAUGAGUUUCCCCUGGAAUACCAGGAAGUCAUAUGAAAUCACAGUUUAGGAAGUGCAUUCAACAGUAUAUGGCAGACAUCA